AUUGAACGCUGGCGGCAUGCCUUACACAUGCAAGUCGAACGGCAGCACGGGGCAACCUGGUGGCGAGUGGCGAACGGGUGAGUAAUGCAUCGGAACGUACCUUUCAGUGGGGGAUAACGUAGCGAAAGUUACGCUAAUACCGCAUAUUCUGUGAGCAGGAAAGCAGGGGAUCGCAAGACCUUGCGCUGAUUGAGCGGCCGAUGUCAGAUUGGCUAGUUGGUGAGGUAAAGGCUCACCAAGGCGACGAUCUGUAGCGGGUCUGAGAGGAUGAUCCGCCACACUGGAACUGAGACACGGUCCAGACUCCUACGGGAGGCAGCAGUGGGGAAUUUUGGACAAUGGGGGCAACCCUGAUCCAGCCAUGCCGCGUGAGUAAAGAAGGCCUUCGGGUUGUAAAGCUCUUUCGGCCGGGAAGAAAUCGUAUGGGUUAAUACCCUGUGCGGAUGACGGUACCGGCAUAAGAAGCACCGGCUAACUACGUGCCAGCCGCCGCCGUAA
This 498-nucleotide ribosomal RNA is filed under the name uncultured bacterium. RNAcentral describes it as "partial 16S ribosomal RNA". It matches the Rfam family "Bacterial small subunit ribosomal RNA", at positions 30 to 523 of the family's 1533-position model. The record is from RNAcentral.